UACUUGGAUUCCAGACUAUGUGAGAAUAGAGGACACAAUAAAAGAGGAACAAUUUUGCUUAUGAAUAACACAAACUCUAAGUAAUAAAAGACCGUGACAGACACAGACUAACUUUGGGGUUAAAAGCACAGAUUCGGGAACAAGACUGUGGAGGUUCAAAACCUGGUUUCACCUGUUGGAUUUUGGGAUGGUGUGCUGGAGAGUGACCGAGCAGGUAACUCUGCUGAGAUCCGAAUGAGAAGAAUGAGCCAGCCAUGAAGCAGGCCAGGAGAAAGGGCAUCUCAGGCCCCGGGCACAGCUACUACAACAGCUCUAAGUGGGAGUCAGCUUGGAACGGCCACGGAACAGAGAGGAGGACCAAACAUGAGAAAACUACCAAAAAUAUCGCCAGAUGUGGACAGUGCUCUGGACGUCCCAAAUCACUCCCAGCGGAGAACCACUGAAUCGGAGAUGAGCAAGAUGUGAACAGACACUUCAACGAGAAGAUACGGAUUGAAAAUAAGUGCUCGUGUGAAGACGUUCAAUAGGACUGGCUGUGAGGGAAAUGCAGAAUAAAGCUCCGAUAAAAUAUUACUACAUACCUAUUGGAACGGCUGAAAUAAAAAAUAGUGGUAACACCAACUACUUGUGAGAAAGUGGAGCGGUUGGAACUCUCAUUCAUUGCUGGCGGGAACGUCAAUGGUACGAACUCUGCAAUACAGUUUAGCAGUUUCUUGCAAAGUUAAACAAACACUCACCACGUGACCCAGCAAUUCCACCCCUGCAUGAUUAUCCUGGAGAAAUAUAAACGUGUGUUCACACAAAAACUUGUACAGGAGAUUCAUGACGUCUUUAUUUGUAACAGCCGAAACCCGGAAAACCCAGAUGCCCUGCAGCAGGUGAAUGGUCAGACACUGCUGUGGCCCGUCCACACCACGGAACACCACUCAGCAAGAAAAAGGAAGAUGCUGCCGAUACCCUCAGCACCCUGCCUCCACCUCAAGGGCGUGAUGCCGCGUGAAAAGGGCCGGUCUCACAGGGCUGCACACUGCCUGGUUCCAUUUAUAUGACCUUCUCUGUGGGACAAUGGUAGUGAUGGAGGCUAGAUGGGGGGUGCCAGGAGUUACGGUUGGGGGGUGACUAUUAAGGGAUAGCACAGGGAUGGUCUUUGUGGGGUGGGACAGGUCUGCAUGCUGACUUGUGAGAUUAUUCAAAUCUGCUCGUGUG
This 1206-nucleotide long non-coding RNA is filed under the name Equus asinus (donkey). Its description in RNAcentral is "lncRNA (ENSEASG00005032080.1)". Lineage: Eukaryota; Metazoa; Chordata; Mammalia; Perissodactyla; Equidae. The record is from RNAcentral.